AUACGUAGGGAGCAAGCGUUGUCCGGAUUUACUGGGUGUAAAGGGUGCGUAGGCGGCUCUGCAAGUCAGGUGUGAAAACUAUGGGCUUAACCCAUAGAUUGCACUUGAAACUGUGGGGCUUGAGUGAAGUAGAGGCAGGCGGAAUUCCCGGUGUAGCGGUGAAAUGCGUAGAGAUCGGGAGGAACACCAGUGGCGAAGGCGGCCUGCUGGGCUUUAACUGACGCUGAGGCACGAAAGCGUGGGUAGCAAACAGGAUUAGAUACCCUGGUAGUCCAUGCUGUAAACGAUGAUUACUAGGUGUGGGGGGUCUGACCCCCUCCGUGCCGGAGUUAACACAAUAAGUACCCCGCCUGGGGAGUACGGCCGCAAGGUUGAA
This 376-nucleotide ribosomal RNA is filed under the name uncultured bacterium. RNAcentral describes it as "bacterial SSU rRNA". It matches the Rfam family "Bacterial small subunit ribosomal RNA", at positions 523 to 898 of the family's 1533-position model. The record is from RNAcentral.